GGUGGUUUGGCGCGUUGUUCGUGAAAACUCACAGCUUAACUGUGGGCGUGCGGGCGAUACGGGCAGACUGGAGUACUGCAGGGGAGACUGGAAUUCCUGGUGUAGCGGUGGAAUGCGCAGAUAUCAGGAGGAACACCGGUGGCGAAGGCGGGUCUCUGGGCAGUAACUGACGCUGAGGAGCGAAAGCGUGGGGAGCGAACAGGAUUAGAUACCCUGGUAGUCCACGCCGUAAACGGUGGGUACUAGGUGUGGGUUUCCUUCCUUGGGAUCCGUGCCGUAGCUAACGCAUUAAGUACCCCGCCUGGGGAGUACGGCCGCAAGGCUAAAACUCAAAGGAAUUGACGGGGGCCCGCACAAGCGGCGGAGCAUGUGGAUUAAUUCGAUGCAACGCGAAGAACCUUACCUGGGUUUGACAUGCACAGGACGUCGGCAGAGAUGUCGGUUCCCUUGUGGCCUGUGUGCAGGUGGUGCAU
RNAcentral lists this ribosomal RNA (473 nucleotides) under uncultured Mycobacterium sp. RNAcentral's name for it is "bacterial SSU rRNA". It matches the Rfam family "Bacterial small subunit ribosomal RNA", at positions 574 to 1046 of the family's 1533-position model. The record is from RNAcentral. Lineage: Bacteria; Bacillati; Actinomycetota; Actinomycetes; Mycobacteriales; Mycobacteriaceae.